Molecule: transfer RNA, 75 nt
Filed under: Hungatella hathewayi
Lineage: Bacteria; Bacillati; Bacillota; Clostridia; Lachnospirales; Lachnospiraceae
Description: tRNA-Arg
Rfam family: tRNA
About the family: Transfer RNA (tRNA) molecules are approximately 80 nucleotides in length.
Source: RNAcentral
GUUCCUGUAGGCUAAUGGAUAGACCAUCCGGCUACGAACCGGAAGAUGUGGGUUCGAUUCCCGCCAGGAACACUA